AACGAACGCUGGCGGCAUGCCUAACACAUGCAAGUCGAACGAGACCUUCGGGUCUAGUGGCGCACGGGUGCGUAACGCGUGGGAACCUGACCUUAGGGUCGGAAUAACUCCCCGAAAGGGGUGCUAAUACCGGAUAAUGUCUUCGGACCAAAGAUUUAUCGCCUUUGGAUGGGCCCGCGUUGGAUUAGCUAGUUGGUAGGGUAAAAGCCUACCAAGGCGACGAUCCAUAGCUGGUCUGAGAGGAUGAUCAGCCACACUGGGACUGAGACACGGCCCAGACUCCUACGGGAGGCAGCAGUGGGGAAUAUUGGACAGUGGGCGAAAGCCUGAUCCAGCACUGCCGCGUGAGUGAUGAAGGCCUGAGGGUUGUAAAGCUCUUUUACCCGUGAUGAUAAUGACAGUACCGGGAGAAUAAGCUCCGGCUAACUCCGUG
This 433-nucleotide ribosomal RNA is filed under the name uncultured bacterium. RNAcentral describes it as "partial 16S ribosomal RNA". It matches the Rfam family "Bacterial small subunit ribosomal RNA", at positions 29 to 507 of the family's 1533-position model. The record is from RNAcentral.